Molecule: long non-coding RNA, 1271 nt
Filed under: Felis catus (domestic cat)
Lineage: Eukaryota; Metazoa; Chordata; Mammalia; Carnivora; Felidae
Description: lncRNA (ENSFCAG00000040482.2)
Source: RNAcentral
GGACAGCGCGGUUCCCGCCACGCCGGCUCCGCCUCCGCGCCGGGCUGCCGGCCGCGGCCCGGGCGCGGAGCCGGUCCCGAGCGCAACUCGUGCCGGCGGGGCGGGCGGGGGCACAGGGGACGCGAGCCCGCCCGCCAGUCGCCGCUCCGGACGGGAAUCCCCGCCGCGGCGGGAACGGGGCCGCGGCCGGAAAAGUUGGGGCGGACCGCUUGCCCGCGUGGGCCGGGCGGGAAGUGCGGUUGCGGAGCGGACCCCGGGGGGCGCAGGGACGCGCUUUUGCCUUCCCACCCCAACGCCCAGUGCACACAGUGAAUAUUCCAGGCCCUGCCAUCUUCUGAAAGGGAGAACAAAACCAGAAGCCAGAGAGGACAGUCUUUGAAAGAAGGUUGAAGAUGGAUGAGAUACCAGUUUGUCUUUCCAUCCUCCGAUCUUGAGUGGCCAAGCAUAUGGGCUGGGAUGCGGAAGACGCACUGGUGGGGGAAGGAGCUCACUUUCUCAUGGCAGGUGCAGUGCCUGUCCUGGCCGCACUAACACACUGUGCACUGUGCAAGACCCUGGGUGCAAUCUUGAGGUAAAGAAGGUGCGGUCUUACUCUCAAAGAAGCCACCGUCUCAUGGGGAAGAUAUAUAUACUCAGGACACAAUUAUGAGGGCGAGCAUAGGUAGCUUGACGAGUAACUGUCACGAGAGGUAUAGCCUUUAGUCUAAAUGAAUGAAAAUGUAUUGUUUGGGGCUGAUCAGAGGUGACUAGGUUUCCCGUCUAGCCAUCCCCACAAUAGUUUUUUGAGUCAUUGCUGUGUCCUUGCAUGUUUCAUCUGAUAAGAAAGCCAGGGGUCUGUGCUGGGUCUGCCAAAGUCAUGGCCCUGUCUCACUGUCCACUUGUUUCUGGCUUUGAGAACGGUCCUCGAAGACUAAGUAGGUCACGGAUAUCUAUUUUGAACCGAGCGUGGCUGGGCUGCAUGGCCAUUUAAUUUCCGGAUCAAAUCCUGUUGGACUUGUUUGUCCAGGAGGCUGGCAGCAAGCACUCUCUGGUUGGUUGUGCGGUGUAUUUAUAAAGUGUGAAGAGUCUGGAGGUAACGAGACACUCCACUUAUCUAUUCCUGCAGGAGAGCGGUCGGUCCGUGGAGAAGUUUCAGAAACCUUCAGGAAGCCGGGGGCGUAUCUUCGUUCCGCCCUGCUUCUUUGAAUUUUCCAAAAAUUGUUGAUCUUCACGAACUUCAUGGAACCCUUUUCUUUUAAGAAAUCCCAUUUAAUUUUUACUCCGUGUUAGUU